RNAcentral lists this ribosomal RNA (274 nucleotides) under uncultured bacterium. Its description in RNAcentral is "partial 16S ribosomal RNA". It matches the Rfam family "Bacterial small subunit ribosomal RNA", at positions 523 to 796 of the family's 1533-position model. The record is from RNAcentral.
AUACGGAGGGUGCAAGCGUUAAUCGGAAUUACUGGGCGUAAAGCGCGCGUAGGCGGUUUAGUCAGUCAGAUGUGAAAGCCCCGGGCUCAGCCUGGGAACUGCAUUUGAUACUGCUGAACUAGAGUAUGGUAGAGGGAAGUGGAAUUCCGGGUGUAGCGGUGAAAUGCGUAGAUAUCCGGAGGAACACCAGUGGCGAAGGCGACUUCCUGGACCAAUACUGACGCUGAGGUGCGAAAGCGUGGGUAGCAAACAGGAUUAGAAACCCUAGUAGUCC